AGGACAAGCUAGAGGCUCCAAUGACAGACGAGAUCUCCAUUGUCCUCAGCACCAUCAAUAGUCAGAACAAGUGAGUGGUGAGAGUUUGAAUGAAAAGAAAAGCAACCAACCAAAUCCUGGAUUUGUUAUUGAAUAGUUUAAGCAAGUGACAGUUUCACGCAUCACACUCAGCAGGAUACAAAGAACUACUGAAAUCCCAGAAUGGGGUACUUCUUAAUUUCACACGCUAGGAGAAGAUAAUCUUUCUAACCGGACAGAGCCAGAGCAGGUGCAGAGGCUUGUGAACCUGGAUGUGCAGUCAUAAUGUCUCCUUAGCUCACCUGGGAAAGACAAAGAAAUGAUCAAAAGUCAUCCGCAACAGAACUUAGAGGAACCUCAUGGGAACAUCAACUUGCAAUAUCUUUUAAACUGCCUUUGGAUAAAUCAGGAGGGGUAGUAA
Molecule: long non-coding RNA, 439 nt
Organism: Colius striatus (speckled mousebird)
Lineage: Eukaryota; Metazoa; Chordata; Aves; Coliiformes; Coliidae
Exons: 5
Source: RefSeq, a predicted model, not a curated record